This 64-nucleotide transfer RNA is filed under the name Ornithodoros porcinus. Its description in RNAcentral is "tRNA-Trp". The record is from RNAcentral. Lineage: Eukaryota; Metazoa; Arthropoda; Arachnida; Ixodida; Argasidae.
UAAGAUUUUAAGUUAAACAAACUGUAUGCCUUCAAAGCAUAAUAUAAUUCUAAUUAAAUCUUAG